GGGCCUCUAGCUCAUGCCUGGUUAGAGCAGCGGACUACUCCGUUGGUGCCGUGUUCGACUCACGGGAGGCCCACCA
This 76-nucleotide transfer RNA is filed under the name Ralstonia pickettii DTP0602. RNAcentral describes it as "tRNA-Und (NNN) (tRNA-Und-NNN-1-1)". Lineage: Bacteria; Pseudomonadati; Pseudomonadota; Betaproteobacteria; Burkholderiales; Burkholderiaceae. The record is from RNAcentral. RNAcentral also lists the same sequence under 2 other names.